GACGAACGCUGGCGGCGUGCUUAACACAUGCAAGUCGAACGGAAAGGCCCCUUUGGGGGUACUCGAGUGGCGAACGGGUGAGUAACACGUGAGUAACCUGCCCUUGACUUCGGGAUAACUUCAGGAAACUGGGGCUAAUACCGGCUAGGAAUCCUUGCUGCAUGGUGGGGGUUGGAAAGCUUCGGCGGUUUUGGAUGGACUCGCGGCUUAUCAGCUUGUUGGUGGGGUAGUGGCUUACCAAGGCUUUGACGGGUAGCCGGCCUGAGAGGGCGACCGGCCACAUUGGGACUGAGGUACGGCCCAGACUCCUACGGGGGGCAGCAGUGGGGAAUAUUGCACAAUGGGCGGAAGCCUGAUGCAGCAACGCCGCGUGCGGGAUGACGGCCUUCGGGUUGUAAACCGCUUUCAGCAGGGGCGAAGCUUGUGGUGACGGUACCUGCAGAAGAAGCACCGGCUAACUACGUG
This 465-nucleotide ribosomal RNA is filed under the name uncultured bacterium. Its description in RNAcentral is "partial 16S ribosomal RNA". It matches the Rfam family "Bacterial small subunit ribosomal RNA", at positions 28 to 507 of the family's 1533-position model. The record is from RNAcentral.